This 253-nucleotide ribosomal RNA is filed under the name uncultured bacterium. RNAcentral describes it as "partial 16S ribosomal RNA". It matches the Rfam family "Bacterial small subunit ribosomal RNA", at positions 524 to 776 of the family's 1533-position model. The record is from RNAcentral.
UACGUAGGGUGCAAGCGUUGUCCGGAAUUAUUGGGCGUAAAGAGCUCGUAGGCGGUCUGUUACGUCCGCUGUGAAAACCCAGGGCUUAACCCUGGGCUUGCAGUGGAUACGGGUAGACUAGAGGCAGGUAGGGGAGAAUGGAAUUCCCGGUGUAGCGGUGAAAUGCGCAGAUAUCGGGAGGAACACCGGUGGCGAAGGCGGUUCUCUGGGCCUGACCUGACGCUGAGGAGCGAAAGCGUGGGGAGCGAACAGG